AGAGUUUGAUCCUGGCUCAGAGCGAACGCUGGCGGCAGGCUUAACACAUGCAAGUCGAGCGGGCAUAGCAAUAUGUCAGCGGCAGACGGGUGAGUAACGCGUGGGAACAUACCUUUUGGUUCGGAACAACACAGGGAAACUUGUGCUAAUACCGGAUAAGCCCUUACGGGGAAAGAUUUAUCGCCGAAAGAUUGGCCCGCGUCUGAUUAGCUAGUUGGUGAGGUAACGGCUCACCAAGGCGACGAUCAGUAGCUGGUCUGAGAGGAUGAUCAGCCACAUUGGGACUGAGACACGGCCCAAACUCCUACGGGAGGCAGCAGUGGGGAAUAUUGGACAAUGGGCGCAAGCCUGAUCCAGCCAUGCCGCGUGAGUGAUGAAGGCCCUAGGGUUGUAAAGCUCUUUUGUGCGGGAAGAUAAUGACGGUACCGCAAGAAUAAGCCCCGGCUAACUUCGUGCCAGCAGCCGCGGUAAUACGAAGGGGGCUAGCGUUGCUCGGAAUCACUGGGCGUAAAGGGUGCGUAGGCGGGUCUUUAAGUCAGGGGUGAAAUCCUGGAGCUCAACUCCAGAACUGCCUUUGAUACUGAGGAUCUUGAGUUCGGGAGAGGUGAGUGGAACUGCGAGUGUAGAGGUGGAAUUCGUAGAUAUUCGCAAGAACACCAGUGGCGAAGGCGGCUCACUGGCCCGAUACUGACGCUGAGGCACGAAAGCGUGGGGAGCAAACAGGAUUAGAUACCCCGGUAGUCCACGCCGUAAACGAUGAAUGCCAGCCGUUAGUGGGUUUACUCACUAGUGGCGCAGCUAACGCUUUAAGCAUUCCGCCUGGGGAGUACGGUCGCAAGAUUAAAACUCAAAGGAAUUGACGGGGGCCCGCACAAGCGGUGGAGCAUGUGGUUUAAUUCGACGCAACGCGCAGAACCUUACCAGCCCUUGACAUCCCGGUCGCGGACUCCAGAGAUGGAGUCCUUCAGUUCGGCUGGACCGGAGACAGGUGCUGCAUGGCUGUCGUCAGCUCGUGUCGUGAGAUGUUGGGUUAAGUCCCGCAACGAGCGCAACCCCCGUCCUUAGUUGCUACCAUUUAGUUGAGCACUCUAAGGAGACUGCCGGUGAUAAGCCGCGAGGAAGGUGGGGAUGACGUCAAGUCCUCAUGGCCCUUACGGGCUGGGCUACACACGUGCUACAAUGGCGGUGACAAUGGGACGCUAAGGGGCAACCCUUCGCAAAUCUCAAAAAGCCGUCUCAGUUCGGAUUGGGCUCUGCAACUCGAGCCCAUGAAGUUGGAAUCGCUAGUAAUCGUGGAUCAGCAUGCCACGGUGAAUACGUUCCCGGGCCUUGUACACACCGCCCGUCACACCAUGGGAGUUGGUUUUACCUGAAGACGGUGCGCUAACCCGCAAGGGAGGCAGCCGGCCACGGUAGGGUCAGCGACUGGGGUGAAGUCGUAACAAGGUA
This 1449-nucleotide ribosomal RNA is filed under the name metagenome. RNAcentral describes it as "bacterial SSU rRNA". It matches the Rfam family "Bacterial small subunit ribosomal RNA". The record is from RNAcentral.